GACGAACGCUGGCGGCGUGCUUAACACAUGCAAGUCGAGCGAUGAAGUUCCUUCGGGAGUGGAUUAGCGGCGGACGGGUGAGUAACACGUGGGUAACCUGCCUCGUAGAGGGGAAUAGCCUUCCGAAAGGAAGAUUAAUACCGCAUAAGAUUGUAGUACCGCAUGGUAUAGCAAUUAAAGGAGUAAUCCGCUAUGAGAUGGACCCGCGUCGCAUUAGCUAGUUGGUGAGGUAACGGCUCACCAAGGCGACGAUGCGUAGCCGACCUGAGAGGGUGAUCGGCCACAUUGGGACUGAGACACGGCCCAGACUCCUACGGGAGGCAGCAGUGGGGAAUAUUGCACAAUGGGGGAAACCCUGAUGCAGCAACGCCGCGUGAGUGAUGACGGUCUUCGGAUUGUAAAACUCUGUCUUCAGGGACGAUAAUGACGGUACCUGAGGAGGAAGCCACGGCUAACUACGUGCCAGCCGCCGCCGUAA
Molecule: ribosomal RNA, 478 nt
Filed under: uncultured bacterium
Lineage: Bacteria
Description: partial 16S ribosomal RNA
Rfam family: Bacterial small subunit ribosomal RNA
Source: RNAcentral